GGAGAGGUGCCGGAGCGGUCGAACGGGGCGGUCUCGAAAACCGUUGUCCGCGCAAGCGGACCGUGGGUUCGAAUCCCACCCUCUCCGCCA
RNAcentral lists this transfer RNA (90 nucleotides) under Alphaproteobacteria bacterium. Its description in RNAcentral is "tRNA-Ser". It matches the Rfam family "tRNA". From Rfam's summary of the family: Transfer RNA (tRNA) molecules are approximately 80 nucleotides in length. Their secondary structure includes four short double-helical elements and three loops (D, anti-codon, and T loops). Lineage: Bacteria; Pseudomonadati; Pseudomonadota; Alphaproteobacteria. The record is from RNAcentral.